This 229-nucleotide long non-coding RNA is filed under the name Drosophila guanche. The record is from RNAcentral. Lineage: Eukaryota; Metazoa; Arthropoda; Insecta; Diptera; Drosophilidae.
CUGACAGCAGCCACGUACUGGUACACCGACUGCCAAAAUAAGAGACACACCACGAAAAGUUGAAAGAAAAAAUGCUACAGACACACAGGAAAGGAAGAAACUUUUUGGCCAACAAUUUCCCAUUUCAGCUUUCCUCUUGGUCGUGUUUCGUUCCCAACACCCUACUGUUGUGCUCUUUGGUUUUGCUCUGUUGCUCACUUUUUUGUACUCUUCCAGGAGGAGUUUUAUG